This 216-nucleotide long non-coding RNA is filed under the name Olea europaea (common olive). Its description in RNAcentral is "long non-coding RNA (OEUR_LNC014030)". Lineage: Eukaryota; Viridiplantae; Streptophyta; Magnoliopsida; Lamiales; Oleaceae. The record is from RNAcentral.
GGUAAGAGAAAACACAGGUGUGCCCCCUCCAACAGCUACCCCAGUAGCUCGGCACCAACUCCACCACCACCAUAGAAGAAGUGGAAUACGAAUGACACCCCGACUAUAAAGAGAAAUGGCCGCCAUGGCAGCCAACAUGAGGGACAUUGCUAGCCAGAACAUGGAUAUAAGGGAACUUAUGGCCCAAAUGCAAGGCCAGGGAGGCUUCCCUAUUUC